GAUGAACGCUGGCGGCGUGCCUAAUACAUGCAAGUCGAGCGAACAGACGAGGAGCUUGCUCCUCUGACGUUAGCGGCGGACGGGUGAGUAACACGUGGAUAACCUACCUAUAAGACUGGGAUAACUUCGGGAAACCGGAGCUAAUACCGGAUAACAUGUUGAACCGCAUGGUUCAACAGUGAAAGACGGUCUUGCUGUCACUUAUAGAUGGAUCCGCGCCGCAUUAGCUAGUUGGUAAGGUAACGGCUUACCAAGGCAACGAUGCGUAGCCGACCUGAGAGGGUGAUCGGCCACACUGGAACUGAGACACGGUCCAGGCGCCUGCGGGACGCAGCAGUAGGGAAUCUUCCGCAAUGGGCGAAAGCCUGACGGAGCAACGCCGCGUGAGUGAAGAAGGUCUUCGGAUCGUAAAACUCUGUUAUUAGGGAAGAACAAAUGUGUAAGUAACUAUGCACGUCUUGACGGUACCUAAUCAGAAAGCCACGGCUAACUACGUG
This 497-nucleotide ribosomal RNA is filed under the name uncultured bacterium. RNAcentral's name for it is "partial 16S ribosomal RNA". It matches the Rfam family "Bacterial small subunit ribosomal RNA", at positions 28 to 507 of the family's 1533-position model. The record is from RNAcentral.